Molecule: ribosomal RNA, 309 nt
Filed under: uncultured eukaryote
Lineage: Eukaryota
Description: partial 18S ribosomal RNA
Rfam family: Eukaryotic small subunit ribosomal RNA
Source: RNAcentral
CCCUUAGAUGUUCUGGGCGGCCCGCGCACUACAUUGACACUAGCAAAGAGAUCCUAGAUUGAAUUCUUUGGGGUAUUCUUCUAAAUGGUGUCGUGACUGGGAUAAAUCCUUGUAAUUAUUGGUUUUGAACGAGGAAUUCCUUGUAAUCGCGGUUUAUCAGCUCGCGUUGAAUGCGUCCCUGCCCUUUGUACACACCGCCCGUCGCUCCUACCGAUGGAUCGUCCGGUGAAGCUCACGGAGUGACUGUUCACGCAACGGUUUACGAAGUGAAAUGGACCUCACGAUUUAGAGGAAGGAGAAGUCGUAACA